This 75-nucleotide transfer RNA is filed under the name Geitlerinema splendidum. RNAcentral's name for it is "tRNA-Thr". It matches the Rfam family "tRNA". From Rfam's summary of the family: Transfer RNA (tRNA) molecules are approximately 80 nucleotides in length. The record is from RNAcentral. Lineage: Bacteria; Bacillati; Cyanobacteriota; Cyanophyceae; Geitlerinematales; Geitlerinemataceae.
GCUGGUGUGGCUCAACGGCAGAGCAAUCGCCUUGUAAGCGAUCGGUUGCGGGUUCAACUCCUGUCACCAGCCCCA